GACGAACGCUGGCGGCGUGCUUAACACAUGCAAGUCGAACGGCAACGCCCUGCUUUUGUUGGGUGCUCGAGUGGCGAACGGGUGUGUAACACGUGAGUAACCUCCCCUUGACUUUGUGAUAUCUUCAGGAAACUGGGGCUAAUACCGGAUAGGAGCUCCUGCUGCAUGGUGGGGGUUGGAAAGUUUCGGCGGUUGGGGAUGGACUCGGGGCUUAUCAGCUUGUUGGUGGGGUAGUGGCUUACCAAGGCAUUGACGGGUAGCCGGCCUGAGAGGGUGACCGGCGACAUGGGGACUGAGAUACGGCGCAGACUGCUACGGGAGGCAGCAGUGGGGAAUAUUGCACAAUGGGCGGGAGCGUGAUGCAGCAGCGCCGCGUGCGGGAUGACGGCCUGCGGGUUGUAAACCGCUUUCGCCUGUGACGAAGCGUGAGUGACGGUAAUGUGUAAAGAAGCACCGGCUAACUACGUG
Molecule: ribosomal RNA, 468 nt
Filed under: uncultured bacterium
Lineage: Bacteria
Description: partial 16S ribosomal RNA
Rfam family: Bacterial small subunit ribosomal RNA
Source: RNAcentral